ACUCCUACGGGAGGCAGCAGUAGGGAAUCUUCCACAAUGGACGAAAGUCUGAUGGAGCAACGCCGCGUGAACGAUGAAGGCUUUCGGGUCGUAAAGUUCUGUUGUAAGGGAAGAACAAGUGCCGCAGGCAAUGGCGGCACCUUGACGGUACCUUGCGAGAAAGCCACGGCUAACUACGUGCCAGCAGCCGCGGUAAUACGUAGGUGGCAAGCGUUGUCCGGAAUUAUUGGGCGUAAAGCGCGCGCAGGCGGCCUCUUAAGUCUGAUGUGAAACGCCCCCCGGCUCAACCGGGGAGGGCCAUUGGAAACUGGGAGGCUUGAGUAUAGGAGAGAAGAGUGGAAUUCCACGUGUAGCGGUGAAAUGCGUAGAGAUGUGGAGGAACACCAGUGGCGAAGGCGACUCUUUGGCCUAUAACUGACGCUGAGGCGCGAAAGCGUGGGAGCAAACAGGAUUAGAUACCCCUGGUAGCGACUGA
Molecule: ribosomal RNA, 475 nt
Filed under: uncultured bacterium
Lineage: Bacteria
Description: bacterial SSU rRNA
Rfam family: Bacterial small subunit ribosomal RNA
Source: RNAcentral